Molecule: ribosomal RNA, 433 nt
Filed under: uncultured bacterium
Lineage: Bacteria
Description: partial 16S ribosomal RNA
Rfam family: Bacterial small subunit ribosomal RNA
Source: RNAcentral
AACGAACGCUGGCGGCAUGCCUAACACAUGCAAGUCGAACGAGACCUUCGGGUCUAGUGGCGCACGGGUGCGUAACGCGUGGGAACCUGCCCUUAGGUUCGGAAUAACUCCCCGAAAGGGGUGCUAAUACCGGAUAAUGUCUUCGGACCAAAGAUUUAUCGCCUUUGGAUGGGCCCGCGUUGGAUUAGCUAGUUGGUAGGGUAAAAGCCUACCAAGGCGACGAUCCAUAGCUGGUCUGAGAGGAUGAUCAGCCACACUGGGACUGGGACACGGCCCAGACUCCUACGGGAGGCAGCAGUGGGGAAUAUUGGAAAAUGGGCGAAAGCCUGAUCCAGCAAUGCCGCGUGAGUGAUGAAGGCCUUAGGGUUGUAAAGCGCUUUUACCCGGGAUGAUAAUGACAGUACCGGGAGAAUAAGCACCGGCUAACUCCGUG